Molecule: ribosomal RNA, 615 nt
Filed under: uncultured bacterium
Lineage: Bacteria
Description: bacterial SSU rRNA
Rfam family: Bacterial small subunit ribosomal RNA
Source: RNAcentral
UUGUGAACGCUGGCGGCGUGCUUAACACAUGCAAGUCACGGGGGCCCAGCAAUGAGCAACCGGCGAACGGGUGCGUAACACGUGAGCAACCUACCUAAGUGAGGGGGAUAGCCGGCCCAACGGCCGGGUAAUACCGCAUACGCUCGAGACGAGGCAUUUCGACUCGAGGAAACCUACGGGACACUUUGAGGGGCUCGCGGCCUAUCAGCUAGUUGGUGGGGUAACGGCCUACCAAGGCAACGACGGGUAGCUGGUCUGAGAGGAUGGCCAGCCACAUUGGGACUGAGAAACGGCCCAGACUCCUACGGGAGGCAGCAGUGGGGAAUCUUGCGCAAUGGCCUAACGGCUGACGCAGCGACGCCGCGUGAGGGAUGACGCUCUUCGGAGUGUAAACCUCUUUUGCCCGGGACGAAUUGUCAGCAUUCGCUGACUUGACGGUACCGGGUGAAUAAGCACCGGCUAACUCCGUGCCAGCAGCUCGCGGUAAUACGGGGGGUGCGAGCGUUGUCCGGAAUCACUGGGCGUAAAGGGCGCGUAGGUGGUCUGAUAAAGGGUGUGGUGAAAGCCCGGGGGCUCAACCCCCGGGUUCGGCCGUGCCGACUGUCAGACUCGAAG